UCUUUCCUUUUUGCCAUCUGCGAUUCAUAAUAUCCCAUACCAUAGCGAAACAAGUUGGAAACCUGUGGUGCCCAUAGCAGAAAGCAAUCCUAAAAGAGAAAACAAUGGAGUGAGGUGCCCUAUUUCAUACUAGGCAAUCUGUAUCCAGAAAAUGCAGUAGUUCAUGAAACAGAAUGUCAUUAUGGACAACAGUAUCGUACACAUCACUAAAAUGUGUUCCUGGAAAGCCUUGCCUGGUUGCUUCCUUCCAGAGCUUCAAGGGGAAGUCCCCAGGGCUGACAUGCAAAGCUAAUGUGCCCAUGAAAACAGGAACAACCCGACGAGGCCGUGGUAUUUUCACUGAAAAAGUGUUAAGUCCUUUCAUCCUCUGUGAAAAGGGAAAAAAAUCUGGUCGCCAUGCAGACAGGCAGUGUUCUACAGAAGUUCAGAGGACUCUGUUGUAUUACGUGGCUGCUGCUGUGCCUUCUUGCUCAGUACGAAAAUGGUGGAAAGGUCCUGGCUUUAUCUUCAUCAGCCAAACCCUACAAAAGUAAAGGGCAAAUUAAAUAAGAUUUGAGAACUGGGGUGGUGAGGGUGGUAAUGGACCGGGUGACUGCUAAUGGGCAACAGAGUUAAAUUUGUAACCUUGGAUGCAAACAGGUGGGAAAAUAGCUCGCUUUGUAGACUGCUUGUAGCGCAAUCAGGUGAGAGCUAUUUUCUCAUGAUCAGAUGAUGUACAGGAAAUCGCAAAUCAGCUUGAUGUGAUCCAUGCCCAAACUGGACCUUUUUGGUUCAUCAGCAGGGCUACUCUUUUUUUGAAGAGGCAGGGGGAACAAGGCUGGAGUAAAACCUGCACAAAUUGAAGGGUCACUUUAAGAGAGAUUGUUCCUGCAAGGUGACCCUUUCCAGCAUGAUCAAAUAUUGUCCUUUAUCACCACCUGAUCACACCUUUUCUCUAAUUAGUCUGGUUAAAAUUAAUAUCAAUAUGGGGGAAAAAUCCCCCCCCAUAAAAUUUCUUUUUAGACAUUUCCUUUGUGGGGGGAAGAGGGCUUUUUUUAAGUGCCGAAGGAACUAUUCAUAACCUAUGUUGCCAAUAAUUUGUGUACAACCAAAAAGGUACAACCUAUUCAGAAAGAGAAACAGAAACUAGAUGAAGGCUCCUUUUUGCAUUUACAAUAUUAUAAAUUAUAUCAAAGCUCCUUUCUUCAUUUUCCCCCUUGGGAGGAAAAGAUCUGUAUGUCAAUGACAACA
This 1230-nucleotide long non-coding RNA is filed under the name Pogona vitticeps (central bearded dragon). RNAcentral's name for it is "lncRNA (ENSPVIG00000011182.1)". Lineage: Eukaryota; Metazoa; Chordata; Lepidosauria; Squamata; Agamidae. The record is from RNAcentral.